ACUCCUACGGGAGGCAGCAGGGAGGAAUAUUGGGCAAUGGGGGAAACCCUGACCCAGCAACGCCGCGUGAAGGAAGAAGGCCUUCGGGUUGUAAACUUCUGUGACAGGGGAAGAAAGAAAUGACGGUACCCUGAGAGGAAGCCACGGCAAACUACGUGCCAGCAGCCGCGGUAAUACGUAGGUGGCGAGCGUUGUCCGGAAUCACUGGGCGUAAAGGGCGCGUAGGCGGUUUAUCAAGUCGCAUGUGAAAUACCAGGGCUCAACUCUGGGGGGUCAUGCGAAACUGAUGGACUUGAGUGCAGUAGAGGGAAGCGGAAUUCCUGGUGUAGCGGUAAAAUGCGUAGAGAUCAGGAGGAACACCGGUGGCGAAGGCGGCUUCCUGGGCUGUAACUGACGCUGAUGCGCGAAAGCGUGGGGAGCAAACAGGAUUAGAUACCCUGGUAGUCCACGCCGUAAACGAUGGGUACUAGGUGUAGGGGUUUCGAUACCUCUGUGCCGCCGUUAACACAAUAAGUACCCCGCCUGGGGAGUACGGUCGCAAGAUUAAAACUCAAAUGAAUUGACGGA
RNAcentral lists this ribosomal RNA (567 nucleotides) under uncultured Clostridium sp. Its description in RNAcentral is "bacterial SSU rRNA". It matches the Rfam family "Bacterial small subunit ribosomal RNA", at positions 335 to 917 of the family's 1533-position model. The record is from RNAcentral. Lineage: Bacteria; Bacillati; Bacillota; Clostridia; Eubacteriales; Clostridiaceae.